AUGCCGUGGUUACUGAUUGGGGACCUGAAUGAAAUUCAAUUCUUGUCUGAAAAGGAAGGAGGAAACCCGAGACCGCCGCAGUACAUGCAUGCCUUCCACUCGGCGAUUGACGACUGUGAAUUGCGGGACAUGGGUUAUAUAGGUGAUCGGUUCACAUGGCAGAGGGGUGGAAUCAGGGAGAGGUUGGACAGAGGGCUAAUCAACGCCGCUUGGGAAGCUAUGUACCCAUCGGCAGCAUUGCAAAACAUGCUAUACAAUCACUCGGACCAUCGUCCAAUUUUGGUUGAUACAGAGUACUAUGCUCCAGCGCACGGUGGUGGAGAACGUACAAAGUGCUUUGAAGCAAGAUGGCUAAGGGAAAGAGAUUUCCCGGAGCUAGUACAAGAGGCAUGA
RNAcentral lists this ribosomal RNA (393 nucleotides) under Triticum aestivum (bread wheat). RNAcentral describes it as "partial small subunit ribosomal RNA". The record is from RNAcentral. Lineage: Eukaryota; Viridiplantae; Streptophyta; Magnoliopsida; Poales; Poaceae.